RNAcentral lists this unclassified non-coding RNA (86 nucleotides) under Pseudomonas sp. NFPP11. RNAcentral also lists the same sequence under 1 other name. Lineage: Bacteria; Pseudomonadati; Pseudomonadota; Gammaproteobacteria; Pseudomonadales; Pseudomonadaceae. The record is from RNAcentral.
GUGGGAGGGGGCUUGCCCCCGAUGGCGAUGGGUCAACUAACAAUGCAGUGACUGAUGUCCGCAAUCGGGGGCAAGCCCCCUCCCAC